Molecule: ribosomal RNA, 783 nt
Filed under: uncultured Neocallimastigales
Lineage: Eukaryota; Fungi; Neocallimastigomycota; Neocallimastigomycetes; Neocallimastigales
Description: partial large subunit ribosomal RNA
Rfam family: Eukaryotic large subunit ribosomal RNA
Source: RNAcentral
UAGAUGCGAGAGUAGAGCAUAUCAAUAAGCGGAGGAAAAGAAACUAACAAGGAUUCCCUUAGUAACGGCGAGUGAAGCGGGAAGAGCUCAAAUUUGAAAUCUUCAAGGUUCUACCUUGACGAAUUGUAGUUUAAAGAAGUGUUUUCUGUUAGAUGAGUAGCAAAAGUUCCUUGGAAUGGGACAUCAUAGAGGGUGAGAAUCCCGUAUUUGGUUAUUCAUUCUAGCUUUGUGAUACACUUUCAAAGAGUCGGAUUGUUUGGGAAUGCAGUCCAAAAUGGGUGGUAAAUUUCAUCUAAAGCUAAAUAUUGGCGAGAGACCGAUAGCGAACAAGUACCGUGAGGGAAAGAUGAAAAGAACUUUGAAAAGAGAGUUAAACAGUACGUGAAAUUGUCAAAAGGGAAGCGUUUGACACCAGUGUUGUUUUUUUCCGAAAAUCAAUUACGAAUGGCUUGAUUUUGUGUUGUAUUGACCUUAUCAGCUUUCUGCACUUUUUUUUCGAGUCUUUCUUAAUGCACUUUUCGGUUUAACAAGUCAACAUCAAUUUCUUUUGUUGUAAUAAGAGUAUUCGGAAGGUGGCUUUCUUUUCGGAGAAAGUGUUUAUAGCCCUAUACUUCUACAAUCGGAGAGAUUGAGGUCUGCAGCGUAGAUCCUUCGGGGUUAGAUACACUUGUGCUAAGUUGUAGCUUUUCAUAGACAACUUGUUGACUAUGUUUAGUCAUUGGGACUUACCUCGCUUAGUGCUAUUUUACCUACGCUUAGGAUGUUGAGCGCAUGUCUCUCUCU